RNAcentral lists this long non-coding RNA (560 nucleotides) under Homo sapiens (human). RNAcentral describes it as "HSALNT0319576". Lineage: Eukaryota; Metazoa; Chordata; Mammalia; Primates; Hominidae. The record is from RNAcentral.
GCCUGUUGGAGAGCUAACCAGUAAAGAUGGAGCAGAGCUGAGAGAUGAAAAGAAGGACAUCAGAUCCUGAUUUGUACCUCUGGAUCUGGUGGCUUCUCGCUGUGGUAUUUCUAGCCAUGACCGUCUCUGGACUCAUCGGUUGCUUGAGCCAAUAUUUUCCUGCAUAUCUAUCUAUUUCCAUUUUUCUUAUUUUUUUGUUUAAGCCAGUUUGAGUUAGGCUUUCUAUCACCUGAGAUUAGAAAAGUCCUCAUUUAGGCUGGAUACGGUGGCUCAUGCCCGUAAUGCCAGCACUUUUGGAGCAUGGAUCCCCUGCUCAGCGGCAGUUGGCUGAACUGAGGGUUUAUGGAGUACUACAACAUCCCUGACAUCGUUGAGACAGGAUGGCAAUGCUGAAGCAGGAGAUAUAAUCUAUACCAGCAGGAGCUCAGCAUCCAUGGGGAAAUUUGGAAAACAAGAUCAGAUUCCCUCCCCAUUAAACAAUGGAAAAAGAUACAGCACAGUGUAGUGUUAAAUAUACUUCUAUUUAGAGAUGGUACUUAUUCCUCCUUUCAUUCCAAGUG